CAAACAAACAACAUAACCUCUAAAGCGAGAACUUAUAAACUAAGUUAUUAAUUAAUUUAAGCAAAAUAAAACGGAAUUAUGAUGGAAAUUGAAGAAAAAUGGGUUGAUGAAUCAUUGUUGGAGUUGAUUAAAACGAAAUCGCAAGGUAAAAUGAAAUUGUUAUGGAAAAAAUUCUUGUUGAUGGUGUUAUUAAUGAUUUAAUGAUGGAAGAAUAGGAUACAUUUCCAAGGUUUAAUAAUGGAACAACAUCGGAACAGUUUCUUUGAAUCCGGUAGCAUAAAUUUUUGAUAAAUUUCAUUCUAAAAUAGAAAAGGAUAUAAAGCAAAAUAAAACGAAAUUAUGAUGGAAAUUGAAGAAAAAUGGGUUGAUGAAUUAUUCUUGGAGUUGAUUAAAACGAAAUCGCAAGGUAAAAUGAAAUUGUUGUGGAAAAAGCUUUAGUUCUUGUUGAAGAUGUAGUUAAUAAUUUAGUGGUGGAAAAAAAUAGGAUAUAUCAUUUCCAAUGUUUAAUAAUGGAAUAAUAUUGUAAGUGUUUCUCUGAAUCCUGAAUUUCAUUUUAAAAUAGAAAAGGAUAUAAAGAUGUGAUUAAUAAUUGAAUGAUGGAAAAAAGCAGGAUGUCUCAUUUCUGAGGUUGAGAUGAAAAUGAUGAAAUCUUUUUGAUAAUGCAAUUGAAGACUUUAUUAUUAAACUUUUGUUUAUAACUCAUUAAAUUCAUCCAUAAUGGUAACUAAAGAAUCCAUGGUUUCUUCACCACUUGGAAUGAUUUGAUCUGCAGGAAGGAGGAAACCAAAUCUCCCAGUGUCUCGUAAUUCAUAAGUAAUAAGGAGGAUGCUACUCUUUCUGAUGAUACCAUUGCUGUUUGGCUUGAUUUUAAGAUAAAUGGGUUGAUUUAAAAUUCAAAUAUGACUUAAUUGUAAAGAAUAAGGAUUAUGCUACUCUUUCUGAUGAUACCAUCGCUGUUUGGCUUGAUUUUGAGACAAAUGGGUUGAUUUAAAACUCAAAUAUCAGUUUAUUGUUAAGAAUAAGGAUUAUGCUACUCUUUCUGAUGAUACCAUCGCUGUUUGGCUUGAUUUUGAGACAAAUGGGUUGAUUUAAACUCAAAUGUGAGUUUAUUGUUAAGUGGCAUCAAGGGGCAAUUUUCACCGCUUAUAAGGAAUGAGAAGAUUCAAGACAACUCAAAAAUGGUGAUCAUAUCUCAAUUUAAAACAUUUAAAGGCAAUUAAAAAUAAAUAAUAGAAGAUAAUAAACAAUAUAAGCUGUCUUAAAUCCACUAAAAGUGAUUGAAUGUGAGAUUCUUAACCCUUCAUCAAUCAUAAAAUUUAUUUUUGCAUACAUAUUUCUUACAAGUUACUUUGUUAUAUUUUUAAAGAAUUGUUAUAAUUAAUAAAGAAACGCAAAAAUAUAAAUUUAAA
This is a non-coding RNA of Onthophagus taurus, 1409 nucleotides long. Lineage: Eukaryota; Metazoa; Arthropoda; Insecta; Coleoptera; Scarabaeidae. The record is from RefSeq and is a predicted model, not a curated record.